UACGUAGGGUGCGAGCGUUAAUCGGAAUUACUGGGCGUAAAGCGUGCGCAGGCGGUUCGUUAAGUCAGAUGUGAAAGCCCCGGGCUCAACCUGGGAACUGCAUUUGAAACUGGCGGGCUUGAGUGUGGCAGAGGGGGGUGGAAUUCCGCGUGUAGCAGUGAAAUGCGUAGAUAUCGGGAGGAACACCAGUGGCGAAGGCGGCGAUCUGGGCAGAUACUGACGCUGAGGUGCGAAAGCGUGGGGAGCAAACAGG
This 253-nucleotide ribosomal RNA is filed under the name uncultured bacterium. RNAcentral describes it as "partial 16S ribosomal RNA". It matches the Rfam family "Bacterial small subunit ribosomal RNA", at positions 524 to 776 of the family's 1533-position model. The record is from RNAcentral.